UACGUAGGGCGCAAGCGUUGUCCGGAUUCAUUGGGCGUAAAGGGUGCGUAGGUGGUGGGGUAAGUCGGAUGUGAAAUCCCGGGGCUCAACCCCGGAACUGCAUUCGAUACUGCCUUGCUCGAGUACUGGAGAGGAGACUGGAAUUUACGGUGUAGCAGUGAAAUGCGUAGAUAUCGUAAGGAAGACCAGUGGCGAAGGCGAGUCUCUGGACAGUUACUGACACUGAGGCACGAAGGCCAGGGGAGCAAACGGG
This 253-nucleotide ribosomal RNA is filed under the name uncultured bacterium. Its description in RNAcentral is "partial 16S ribosomal RNA". It matches the Rfam family "Bacterial small subunit ribosomal RNA", at positions 524 to 776 of the family's 1533-position model. The record is from RNAcentral.